GACGAACCGUGCGAACGUUGUUCGGAAUCACUGGGCUUAAGGGGCGCGUAGGCGGACUGCCAAGUCCGGGGUGAAAUCCUCCGGCUUAACCGGAGAAUUGCCUGGGAUACUGGCGGUCUUGAGGGAGGUAGGGGCACGCGGAACUUCCGGUGGAGCGGUGAAAUGCGUUGAUAUCGGAAGGAACGCCGGUGGCGAAAGCGGCGUGCUGGCCCUCUUCUGACGCUGAGGCGCGAAAGCCAGGGGAGCGAACGGG
Molecule: ribosomal RNA, 253 nt
Filed under: uncultured bacterium
Lineage: Bacteria
Description: partial 16S ribosomal RNA
Rfam family: Bacterial small subunit ribosomal RNA
Source: RNAcentral